RNAcentral lists this ribosomal RNA (456 nucleotides) under uncultured bacterium. RNAcentral describes it as "SSU rRNA". It matches the Rfam family "Bacterial small subunit ribosomal RNA", at positions 26 to 518 of the family's 1533-position model. The record is from RNAcentral.
AGGAUGAACGCUGGCGGCGUGCCUAACACAUGCAAGUCGUACGCCCCACUUCGGUGGGGAGUGGCGGACGGGUGAGUAACACGUUGGUACCUGCCCCGAAGUGGGGAAUAAUUCACCGAAAGGUGGACUAAUACCCCAUAGUAUCCAAUUUAUUUGGAUUAAAGAUUUAUCGCUUCGGGAGGGGCCUGCGUUUGAUUAGCUAGUUGGCGGGGUAAAAGCCCACCAAGGCGACGAUCAAUAGCUGGAUCGAGAGGUUGACCAGCCACACUGGGACUGAGAUACGGCCCAGACUCCUACGGGAGGCAGCAGUGAGGAAUCUUCCACAAUGGACGAAAGUCUGAUGGAGCAAUACCGCGUGCAGGAAGACGCUUUUCGGAGUGUAAACUGCUUUUCUGAAGGAAGAUUAUGACGGUACUUCAGGAAUAAGGAUCGGACUAACUACGUGCCAGCAGCCGC